CAAUAGCGUAUAUUUAAGUUGUUGCAGUUAAAAAGCUCGUAGUCGGAUUUUGGCUGAGAACGAACGGUCCGCCGUUAGGUGUGCACUGUUUGGUCUCAGCUUCCUGGUGAGGAGGUGUGCUUCACGGCCACUUAGUCACCGCGGUUACUUUGAAAAAAUUAGAGUGUUCAAAGCGGGCUUACGCUUGAAUAUAUUAGCAUGGAAUAACACCAUAGGACUCCUGUCCUAUUUCGUUGGUCUCGGGACGGGAGUAAUGAUUAAGAGGAACAGUUGGGGGCAUUCGUAUUUCAUUGUCAGAGGUGAAAUUCUUGGAUUUAUGAAAGACGAACUUCUGCGAAAGCAUUUGCCAAGGAUGUUUUCAUUGA
Molecule: ribosomal RNA, 365 nt
Filed under: uncultured eukaryote
Lineage: Eukaryota
Description: partial 18S ribosomal RNA
Rfam family: Eukaryotic small subunit ribosomal RNA
Source: RNAcentral